GAUGAACGCUGGCGGCGUGCUUAACACAUGCAAGUCGAACGGAAAGGCCCAAGCUUGCUUGGGCUCUCGAGUGGCGAACGGGUGAGUAACACGUGGGUGAUCCGUCCUUCACUUCGUGAUAUGCCUGGGAAACUGGGUCUCUUAUCGGAGAGGACCUCUUUUAGGAUGGUGUUGUGGAAAGUUUUUCGGUGUGGGUUGAGCUCGCGGCCUAUCAGCUUGUUGGUGGGGUAAUGGGCUACCAAGGCGCCUGCGGGAAGCCCGCCUGAGAGGGUGUGCGGCCGCAUUGGGACUGAGGGACGGCCCAGGCAGCGACGGGAGGGAGAAGGGGGAAAGAUUGACGAAGGAGCGCAAGGCUGAUGCAGAGACGCCGCGGGGGGGAUGACGGGCUUCGGGUUGUAGACUAAAUGCGCUAGUGACGAAGCGUUAUGUGACGGUACCUGGGGAAGAAGCACCGGCUAACUACGUG
Molecule: ribosomal RNA, 466 nt
Filed under: uncultured bacterium
Lineage: Bacteria
Description: partial 16S ribosomal RNA
Rfam family: Bacterial small subunit ribosomal RNA
Source: RNAcentral